GUCCUCGUGGAGCUGUCGGAGUGCUCGCCACUCUUUCAAAGUGGAGACCAUGGGUUCGAAUCCCAUCGAGGACA
This 74-nucleotide transfer RNA is filed under the name Chloroflexota bacterium. RNAcentral describes it as "Chloroflexi bacterium tRNA-Glu". It matches the Rfam family "tRNA". Rfam says of the family: Transfer RNA (tRNA) molecules are approximately 80 nucleotides in length. Their secondary structure includes four short double-helical elements and three loops (D, anti-codon, and T loops). Further hydrogen bonds mediate the characteristic L-shaped molecular structure. tRNAs have two regions of fundamental functional importance: the anti-codon, which is responsible for specific mRNA codon recognition, and the 3' end, to which the tRNAs corresponding amino acid is attached (by aminoacyl-tRNA synthetases). tRNAs cope with the degeneracy of the genetic code in two manners: having more than one tRNA (with a specific anti-codon) for a particular amino acid; and 'wobble' base-pairing, i.e. permitting non-standard base-pairing at the 3rd anti-codon position. The record is from RNAcentral. Lineage: Bacteria; Bacillati; Chloroflexota. RNAcentral also lists the same sequence under 2 other names.